GUUUAACAGCUUUCUGACCUUUUGUAGUAUUAUUAUUAUUAUUAUUAUUAUUAUGUGAUAUUGUACUGUUAUUUUUCCCAGCAGAAAAAGUAUAAUUGUUUUGUUUUAUCCCUGUUUUAAUUGGAUGUAGAUUGAGGCGUUCUGGUUUUUUAAUAUCAUAUAUAUUAUAAAUUGUGUUUAUUUAAAAGGCUUUGUGUUAAAGGACACUAGUCUCCUCUAGGGGUCCAGUCAGUGAGCUGAAAACACAGAAUACUGGAGAUACAAAACGUGUUUCUAUACCAUAUGAAAUGUAAGGAUCAGGAUGCAUAUGAAAUGCACUUCCAUAUGAAAUGUAGGAAUAUGACGUGAGCCUGUGUUCUACAUGGCAGAAAUGUACAGUAUAUAACAGCUAUGCUGGUCUGUGAGCUAUCUGUAGCGUUGCAGCCUCCUGAAUAGGUCCUAGCUGUGUCUCCUUGCAAUAGGAGAGCCCAUUGUCUCACGUCAGAUGGUGUCACUCCUACGCGACGCUCGUCCCUCAACCGAGUGCAGACGGCCGUCAGCGCUAUCUGACGUCAGACAAUGUAGGAGAGGCUAGAAAAGCGUAGCUAGAGAGACGGCACACCUAGCUAGGGAGAUGCUACUGCUAGCUAAUUAGCUAGCUAGCUAGAUAUGCUAGCUAAUCUAAAGAAAACCUACAGGAGACCCUUGUAGCCUAACUCUAGCACAGCUAGCUAGAGAGAUGCUAGCUACUUGCUAAUUUAAACAAAGCACUUAAGGUGAUUCCGUUUUCGUCCUCAUGCUAGCUAGCAGUAACCACAUGCUGGCUAGCAUGAGGGCGAAAACGUCUCAGCGGUGUGUCUUAAUCUAAACAAAAGCCCUUUCCAACCAUAUAGCAGAGCGUAUAAGGUUGGAAUCUUCUAGCUUACCUAAAGGUGAUUUGUGUGUCUUUAGCAUGGCUGGCUAACUAGCUAGAGAUGCUAGCUAUAUGCUAACCUAAAUAACUUCUAACGGUAAUCCUUGUGUCUUUAGCACCCUUAUAUAACCCAAACUAAUCCAGUGACAUCCAUAAUAUGGUCCGAUGAUAUUUGUAUUAUAUUAUUUUACAUAUAGCCUAACCCCUGUGUUUUUAGUUCUACAUGUUCUAAGUUCUAAACUUCUCUAUUGUGAGUUUAAAUGAUGUUUUGUCGUUAAUGUGAGCUGUCACACAAGGCGGUCUUGUUGGUGGCUCAUGCCCCACCGGAUGGAUGGUAAGACGUUUGAAUGGAAGGAGAGGGAGACAGAAAUGUAUGGUUGUUUGGCACUGAUGCGAUGAAUCAUUUCAUUUAAAUCAUGAGUAUGUUGUACGUAGGCUGUUCUGUCACAGCCUGGUAAUGAUGUAGGGAGACAGUCACGCUCUAGUCUUCACACCGCCAGACCUGGUUUAAAAUACUAUUGCGACUUAUUAUUAAUUCAAUUGCAACAGGCACAUUCAGUUGAGCACAGUUUAAAAUAUUUGAAAUGAUUUCAAUUAGUAAUUGAACCCAGGUUUUCACAUGACAAACUGAGCGUUUUAAUGUUUGUUUGGACUGUAAUAAUGAGGCUGAACGAUGGAAAGUCACAUCGCUCAUCGAUCAGCCAGGAAACUGCUUUACAACUUAAACUGACCUACUGAAAAACGAUUUGGUUCAUUUUGUCACCUGUGGUUUUAGAUAGAAGUACAUUAUAACUCUCGGACGGAACUCUCCCGGUGUUCUAUUGUGACGGAAGGUUCCUACUGCUGUUAAAGGGAUCAUUUUACCGGUUCUGCAGAGAACGUCAGAAUAUUUUCACCUGGGUGGAGUUGUUUAUUGUUUUCAAAACACUCACUGGUCUUUUUCUUGAUACUGUACUGUCUUGUCUUGUCAUUAUGUAGCACAAUGCAUUUAGUAAUCAGGUUAUUGGUGAGGAUAAUGUCAACAUCAAAUCAACCCAAUCACUGUUUUCAAAUAAAUUACCCAGAAGUCCAUGUGUCUUGUCUCUUGACUCUAAGCAACGCUAAUCAUAGUUAACAGGCUUUGG
Molecule: long non-coding RNA, 2016 nt
Filed under: Salmo salar (Atlantic salmon)
Lineage: Eukaryota; Metazoa; Chordata; Actinopteri; Salmoniformes; Salmonidae
Description: lncRNA (ENSSSAG00000113957.1)
Source: RNAcentral